CUUCAACUGAAAUAGAUGCAAGCAAAGUUAUAUUAGAGCAAUAAAGCAUCACUAUACAAACACUAAAUAAUUCUAGGAGAUAUUAACAGCAGCCUUUAGUAGCAUGAACUGAGCAGGAGCAAAGGGAAGUUUUGAAAGUUAAUGAUGAUUUCUAAGAACAGGCUAAGACUUGGAACCUCUGGAUGGAUAUUUUUCCAGUGAGCAGGCUUUUUAAGGAAAAUCUUAGAGGAAGCUCCAUCAAAACUUAUAAAAUCUUGGGAAGAGGAACUGUGGCCCAUCACUGAUCAUUUCAUCUAUUAAGUGACCACUUAUUGUCUUAUAAUAGGAGAUGUUCUGGAAACAUGCAUUGAAUCGAAGUGGCUUUGAGGAAGCAUGAAGAGAAAACAGGAUGGCAUCCUUUUGGCACCAUUUCUUAUGCUAUAAUAAGGAUUCCUUCUGUUUACACAUAAAACAGAAGAGUUUAAUCACCCCAGCAAUCUUUAACUUGGUAAUGAAGGCCAUAAAUUAAAUUUUAAGCAAAGUUAAAGAAGAUGAGAUGAAAUAUAAAACAAAAACAUCAUCAGAAUCUGCCCAGGAACAAUAUUCUUGACACCAAACCAUGACAUUAUGGGGCUCAGUUGUUUGUUUCUAGGGCAGCCCCUUGUUUUAUGUGCCAAAUAGCAUUUCCCUAAAUAAAACUGCAUGGAAC
This 688-nucleotide long non-coding RNA is filed under the name Homo sapiens (human). RNAcentral's name for it is "HSALNT0250629". The record is from RNAcentral. Lineage: Eukaryota; Metazoa; Chordata; Mammalia; Primates; Hominidae.